CGGGGGGGGCCAUUUGAAUUGAAUGGGUGGCUUGCACCUGGAUUAAUUUUGGUCGCCAACGAGUGGCGGACGGGUGAGUAACACGUAGGUAACCUGCCCAGAAGCGGGGGACAACAUUUGGAAACAGAUGCUAAUACCGCAUAACAACGUUGUUCGCAUGAACAACGCUUAAAAGAUGGCUUCUCGCUAUCACUUCUGGAUGGACCUGCGGUGCAUUAGCUUGUUGGUGGGGUAAUGGCCUACCAAGGCGAUGAUGCAUAGCCGAGUUGAGAGACUGAUCGGCCACAAUGGGACUGAGACACGGCCCAUACUCCUACGGGAGGCAGCAGUAGGGAAUCUUCCACAAUGGGCGCAAGCCUGAUGGAGCAACACCGCGUGAGUGAAGAAGGGUUUCGGCUCGUAAAGCUCUGUUGUUAAAGAAGAACACGUAUGAGAGUAACUGUUCAUACGUUGACGGUAUUUAACCAGAAAGUCACGGCUAACUACGUGCCAGCAGCCGCGGUAAUACGUAGGUGGCAAGCGUUAUCCGGAUUUAUUGGGCGUAAAGAGAGUGCAGGCGGUUUUCUAAGUCUGAUGUGAAAGCCUUCGGCUUAACCGGAGAAGUGCAUCGGAAACUGGAUAACUUGAGUGCAGAAGAGGGUAGUGGAACUCCAUGUGUAGCGGUGGAAUGCGUAGAUAUAUGGAAGAACACCAGUGGCGAAAGCGGCUACCUGGUCUGCAACUGACGCUGAGACUCGAAAGCAUGGGUAGCGAACAGGAUUAGAUACCCUGGUAGUCCAUGCCGUAAACGAUGAGUGCUAGGUGUUGGGAGGGUUUCCCGCCCUUUCAGUGCCGGAGCUAACGGCAUUAAGCACUCCCGCCUUGGGGAGGUACGGACCCGCAAAGGUUGAACUUCAAACGAAAUUGAACGGGGCCCCCGCCCACAAAGCCGCG
RNAcentral lists this ribosomal RNA (933 nucleotides) under Limosilactobacillus fermentum. RNAcentral's name for it is "bacterial SSU rRNA". It matches the Rfam family "Bacterial small subunit ribosomal RNA", at positions 38 to 939 of the family's 1533-position model. Lineage: Bacteria; Bacillati; Bacillota; Bacilli; Lactobacillales; Lactobacillaceae. The record is from RNAcentral.